AGCGAACGCUGGCGGCAGGCCUAACACAUGCAAGUCGAACGAACUCUUCGGAGUUAGUGGCGGACGGGUGAGUAACACGUGGGAACGUGCCUUUUGGUUCGGAAUAACUCAGGGAAACUUGUGCUAAUACCGAAUGUGCCCUUCGGGGGAAAGAUUUAUCGCCAUUAGAGCGGCCCGCGUCUGAUUAGCUAGUUGGUGAGGUAACGGCUCACCAAGGCGACGAUCAGUAGCUGGUCUGAGAGGAUGACCAGCCACACUGGGACUGAGACACGGCCCACACUCCUACGGGAGGCAGCAGUGGGGAAUCUUGCGCAAUGGGCGAAAGCCUGACGCAGCCAUGCCGCGUGAAUGAUGAAGGUCUUAGGAUUGUAAAAUUCUUUCACCGGGGACGAUAAUGACGGCACCCGGAGAAGAAGCCCCGGCUAACUUCGUG
RNAcentral lists this ribosomal RNA (433 nucleotides) under uncultured bacterium. Its description in RNAcentral is "partial 16S ribosomal RNA". It matches the Rfam family "Bacterial small subunit ribosomal RNA", at positions 29 to 507 of the family's 1533-position model. The record is from RNAcentral.